UGAGUAACCUGCCCUUGACUCUGGGAUAAGCCUGGGAAACCGGGUCUAAUACCGGAUACGACCUUUCACCGCAUGGUGGGGGGUGGAAAGCUUUAUUGCGGUUUUGGAUGGACUCGCGGCCUAUCAGCUUGUUGGUGAGGUAAUGGCUCACCAAGGCGACGACGGGUAGCCGGCCUGAGAGGGUGACCGGCCACACUGGGACUGAGACACGGCCCAGACUCCUACGGGAGGCAG
This 234-nucleotide ribosomal RNA is filed under the name uncultured bacterium. RNAcentral describes it as "partial 16S ribosomal RNA". It matches the Rfam family "Bacterial small subunit ribosomal RNA", at positions 118 to 351 of the family's 1533-position model. The record is from RNAcentral.